UUGACGGGGGCCCGCACAAGCGGUGGAGCAUGUGGUUAAUUCGAAGCAACGCGAAGAACCUUACCAGGUCUUGACAUCCCGAUGCUAUUUCUAGGGAUAGAAGUUACUUCGGUACAUCGGUGACAGGUGGUGCAUGGUUGUCGUCAGCUCGUGUCGUGAGAUGUUGGGUUAAGUCCCGCAACGAGCGCAACCCCUAUUGUUAGUUGCCAUCAUUCAGUUGGGCACUCUAGCGAGACUGCCGGUAAUAAACCGGAGGAAGUGGGGAUGACGUCAAAUCAUCAUGCCCCUUAUGACCUGGGCUACACACGUGCUACAAUGGUUGGUACAACGAGUUGCGAGUCGGUGACGGCGAGCUAAUCUCUUAAAGCCAAUCUCAGUUCGGAUUGUAGGCUGCAACUCGCCUACAUGAAGUCGGAAUCGCUAGUAAUCGCGGAUCAGCACGCCGCGGUGAAUACGUUCCCGGGCCUU
RNAcentral lists this ribosomal RNA (468 nucleotides) under uncultured Streptococcus sp. RNAcentral describes it as "bacterial SSU rRNA". It matches the Rfam family "Bacterial small subunit ribosomal RNA", at positions 910 to 1382 of the family's 1533-position model. Lineage: Bacteria; Bacillati; Bacillota; Bacilli; Lactobacillales; Streptococcaceae. The record is from RNAcentral.